RNAcentral lists this ribosomal RNA (150 nucleotides) under Ribes spicatum. RNAcentral's name for it is "5.8S ribosomal RNA". It matches the Rfam family "5.8S ribosomal RNA". From Rfam's summary of the family: 5.8S ribosomal RNA (5.8S rRNA) is a component of the large subunit of the eukaryotic ribosome. Lineage: Eukaryota; Viridiplantae; Streptophyta; Magnoliopsida; Saxifragales; Grossulariaceae. The record is from RNAcentral.
UCGACAACGGAUAUCUCGGCUCUCGCAUCGAUGAAGAACGUAGCGAAAUGCGAUACUUGGUGUGAAUUGCAGAAUCCCGUGAACCAUCGAGUCUUUGAACGCAAGUUGCGCCUGAAGCCAUUCGGCCGAAGGCACGUCUGCUUGGGGGUC